GAGAGAGGUCUUGAGACAAUAAAAACUGCUAACUUUUAGGCCCGUGGUUAAACUCCGCGGCUCACUCG
RNAcentral lists this transfer RNA (68 nucleotides) under Nematobrycon palmeri (emperor tetra). RNAcentral's name for it is "tRNA-Ser". RNAcentral also lists the same sequence under 1 other name. The record is from RNAcentral. Lineage: Eukaryota; Metazoa; Chordata; Actinopteri; Characiformes; Acestrorhamphidae.